UCUCGGCGUGAACGGAAAGACUUCCGGUGUAAACAAGGAUAUUGGAAAUCCUACUGGUGUGUUCCGAAUGGUAGACCGUGGCGCAACAACGAAGGAAAAGAAAUAGAGUCGCAUUAAUGCGAAUUGUGAAAACGAAACAGGAAGACGCUUAGGCUAUCAUGGAAAAACAGUACUCAGUGGAGUUCUUUGACCUCCUUUGUGGAGCAGCUUCAAGAUGUGUGUCGCAACUACCUCCAGUUCAGUCAGUUUGUGGAGGUCAGUGGCUAUGUGUGUGUGGAGAUCGACAACAUGAAGAAGGAGAGAUACGUCCUGAGUGAACUGCUACAGAGCAGUGGUAAUGUGGUCAGUGAGAGCUACUGUACGAAGUCAUUCAGAACUGCAGAGAACAGAUCAGCCUCCUGGAAUAGUUCAACCCAAGAGAGAAGAGAAAGAGGUGACUUUAGAACUGCUAAAGAUAAGGAAAAUAUAAGUGAGGAUGAAGAUGACACCACCUUUGCCUCACCAUCCCCAGUUGGUGAACAAUACACAUCAGAAGCACACUGUGAUAUGGGAGGACCUGAAGAACGGGUGAUAGUUCCACCCUGUCUGAAACAGCAGUUCAGGACUUCAUCAAACUCGGAGUCCAUGUCCUUUGCAUCGAGGAAUGCUCCUUCAACUUCAGUGGAAUUUGACGAAGAUGAAGUCAUUGACCUGGACGUGUUUGAGAAUGACCUUGAUAUGGAGGAAGAGAACUCACCAGGGUCUUCUGAAACAACUGUUUCAUGCACACUAUCAGUACCUAAAAAGAAGGGAAAGCUCAGCUUGAGUCCUGGAACAUUAGCAAAAGUGAGGAACUCGGUGAAGCAGUUCCAGAGGUUCCACUUUGACAAGUCUGGUGAUGACGUGGACCUGUUUUCUUUGGCCCCUGAGGAUCUCAAUGAACUCCUUCUGGCCUACUUCAAAGAGGGUAAGAAAAGAGGUGGGGGAGAUCUAACUGCAUGUACACUGAACAAUGUUCAGAAGCACCUGCACAUGUAUUUACGCCAUGGAGGCUAUCCCUAUUCUAUUGUCAAGGACAGACCGUUCCAGUCCUCCAGUGACUUCCUCAGAAAGAAGCUGAAUGUAGGAAGAAAGAUUGUCGCCCAGAAACACUCUCCAGUCAAUGAUGAUGACAUAGAGAUCAUGUUCCAAACUGGCCAGUUGGGAAUUCAGAGUCCUGAAAGUUUGAUCCAUACCUUGUGGUUUCUCAAUUCAAAAUAUUUUGGCAUCAGGCGCCCAGCUGAACAUUUUAACUUGAAAUGGGGAGAUAUUCAACUGAAGGUCAAUGACGAGGGCAUGGAAUAUCUUGAAAGGCCAAUUAAUGCAUCGUGUUCAUUGAAGAUUUUUGCCAAGCCUCAUACCCCGAACAGGUGCUUUGUGAACUUCUACAAGCAGUAUCAGCAGUUGAGACCAAAGUUGGCGAUGGAUAAAGAGUGUGCUUUCUACCUGAAGCCUAAUAAGUACUCCGACAUAUGGUUCACAUCCAAGACGGUGAUAUAUUCUUACUUCACAUAUCUGUGGAGGAAACUUGUAAUUAAUGCUGGGUUGUCCAUUGACAAAAAAAUAUUUUAAUGUUGGUGUGUGUUGCAAUCUGAUAGGCUUAAAACUAUUCGAUAGUUUUGAAAGUUAGUAAACAAUAUUGGGUUUUUUAUUGCUGUCAAAUGUUAGCCUUCAUUUGAAGAACAUGGUAAAAGCAGGGCAUCAUGUCAGCAAAGCAUAAUUUUAGAAAUUGAGGAAUUCCCCAAAUAAAAUCAUGUGACAUACUGAGGUUCAUGGAGAAAUGAUCCACUGUUUGCUUGGUAGUGUUCAUCUAGGUGACGUUACAGUCAACUUAUAAACCAACAUAUGUGUGGUAAUUAAUUUGAUGGACCUUUAGCAGAAUAUUUUUCUCUGUAUUUUAUAAACCAGGUGGUUACAUGGACAUUCAGCUACAUGUUAAACAUGUACAAUAUGUUCACAAUGACAAUAUUAUAUAAAAUUAGUGUAACCAUGAGAAGAUAUUUUCAUGUAUCAUGAUUUUCCUACAUAACUCUGAACAAUAAAAUUCUGUCAUUCACUGUA
This 2079-nucleotide unclassified non-coding RNA is filed under the name Haliotis rubra (blacklip abalone). RNAcentral's name for it is "uncharacterized LOC124287870, transcript variant X5". Lineage: Eukaryota; Metazoa; Mollusca; Gastropoda; Lepetellida; Haliotidae. The record is from RNAcentral.